GAUGAACGCUGGCGGCGUGCCUAAUACAUGCAAGUCGAGCGAACAGACGAGGAGCUUGCUCCUCUGACGUUAGCGGCGGACGGGUGAGUAACACGUGGAUAACCUACCUAUAAGACUGGGAUAACUUCGGGAAACCGGAGCUAAUACCGGAUAAUAUAUUGAACCGCAUGGUUCAAUGGUGAAAGACGGUUUUGCUGUCACUUAUAGAUGGAUCCGCGCCGCAUUAGCUAGUUGGUAAGGUAACGGCUUACCAAGGCGACGAUGCGUAGCCGACCUGAGAGGGUGGUCGGCCACACUGGAACUGAGACACGGUCCAGACUCCUACGGGAGGCAGCAGUAGGGAAUCUUCCGCAAUGGGCGAAAGCCUGACGGAGCAACGCCGCGUGAGUGAUGAAGGUCUUCGGAUCGUAAAACUCUGUUAUUAGGGAAGAACAAAUGUGUAAGUAACUAUGCACGUCUUGACGGUACCUAAUCAGAAAGCCACGGCUAACUACGUG
Molecule: ribosomal RNA, 497 nt
Filed under: uncultured bacterium
Lineage: Bacteria
Description: partial 16S ribosomal RNA
Rfam family: Bacterial small subunit ribosomal RNA
Source: RNAcentral